Non-coding RNA from Vicugna pacos (alpaca), 1956 nucleotides. The record is from RefSeq and is a predicted model, not a curated record. NCBI's taxonomy places the organism in Eukaryota, Metazoa, Chordata, Mammalia, Artiodactyla, Camelidae.
CUACCACUUCAGCCGGCUCUGCGGGCCAGAAUCACCGCCACCCCCCUACUCUCGGCUGUCUCCUCGUGACGAGUACAAGCCACUGGAUCUAUCUGAUUCCACAUUGUCUUACACUGAAACGGAGGCCACCAACUCCCUCAUCACGGCUCCAGGUGAAUUCUCAGCCUCCUGUGCCACUGCCACAAAGGCCCGGAGGCCUGAUCAGACCUUCCCACCACUUUCAGGAUUUGAGAUCUGCAAAAGGUGAUGAGGCUGAGUGGUCCUGUAAAACAGUGUGCGCAGGGUGGGAGUGUCCAUCCCGGUGCCCACCUCAGUACCAGCAGCCUCGUCCCCUGCCCUGCCCGUGUAUCAUCCCAGCUGCGGGAUCUGGGCAGAGUUGGGCCUUCUGUGAGUCAGCCAUCUCCAGGGGGCCCCAGGGGCUCCUCCCUGUUCCCAGAUCCCUCAGUACAGCCCCCCAGGCACCGUCUCUCCACCUCUGCCCUCUUCUUGCCUCGGCUCCCUGGGGAGGCCUCCGACCUGCACCAGGGCCAGGCAGGCGUGACCAGGGUGGCCUCGGCGUGCCUGCUCCCCUCCCAAAUCUCUAGGUGGCCUUUUUAAGGGUCCUGGCUUGUGGGCCUGGAACAUCAGGGGUCACUCAGCUCAAGAUUUCAUUGCACAGAUGGGGUGGCCGAGGCUCUGAGAAGGGGAGGGACUUGCAUAAGGGCACACUGUAUUAGGGGCUGGGCCAGAGCUCCUGGUGAUCCCUGGUGAGGAGUGACCGUGGUGGACCCUGUGGCCCUCCGCCACGCCGGGAUGGCUGGCGGAAUCCUUUAUGUGCUCCCUGCCUUACACAGCUCGGGCCCCUGACCCCAAAGAGCCUCACGAACUUGAGCUGGAAACUUAGAAUCUUUUUCUCCUCUUGCUGCAAGGGCUUCAUUACUCCGUCGGAGAUUUGUGGGGACAGGGCCUUGCUGGGGGAAAGCGCACCAGCCGGGUGACGCUGGGCCUCCGUUCCCUCGCCCAGCUUCCUGGCACUGCCCGCCUUCCCCAUCGGAGGGCGCUAAUGGCAGCUUGUGGGAUGCUCUGGAGUUUCAAGCUCUGGGGUCAAAUGUCAGCCCCGCCACACUCACCGUGGGUGGUCAUGAGCUCAUUUGUCCUCCUCUGUAAAAGCAGGGGUGAUGGUAGCCCUACCUCAGGGGGCUGAGUUAAUAACACACAGGGAGGAGAUGCCCCAUGAAUGGGUGAUAUUGUUAUCUGGUCCUCAGAGACAAGGGAAUGUCUUUCAUCCCUCCUGUCUCCCCAUCUGACUCUCUCGUGUUCUCCGGACUCGCUCAGUCACUCUUACUGAGUGGCUUCUUGCUCAUGCGCUCCUUAAAUUAAGGCAGGAAUCAAGCUCAAACUCAAACUUGCAAAAGGGUCAGAGUUUGCUGGGGGCUUCAGGUGACACUGACUGUGGAGUAGGUGGGUCCUCGCUGCGCUGCUGGGAGACUUGGCUGCAGUUUGCACAAAGCAGGGGUUCACACCCACUUCUUCCCUGAAUCUCCCACCGGCACACGAGCAUGCGCAGAUCACCCAGAUCCCUGGAGUGAUGUACAGCUGAUGGUACCUGGUAGGAGUACCAGUAGGAGCUGGUGGGAGCUCAGUAAAUGCAUGUGCCUAUUUUAUUUUCUGUCCUUCAGCGAUGAGGUGACCAGGUGGGUGUCUUCCAUGCUGGGCAUUAUAGUAAGUGCCUACUAGCUGUUCAGCGCAGCACUGGGCAUUUUACAGAGUGUUCUUAUAACCUGUAAUCCUUAAAACAAUUUUGGGUGGAGAGGGUAUAGUUAAUUAUAAUCCCCAUUUUACAGGUAGGUUCACUGAGGCUCAGAGAAAAGGUACAUGUCAACUUAAGGUAACAAUACAGGGGUUAAAAGUUAAUCUGAGACAACAGUGCAGAGGACAAGAUGGGGCCCUGUGGCUUCCUGCAGAGGUAGCAGUGGG